This 67-nucleotide ribosomal RNA is filed under the name Pseudomonas aeruginosa. The record is from RNAcentral. RNAcentral also lists the same sequence under 2 other names. Lineage: Bacteria; Pseudomonadati; Pseudomonadota; Gammaproteobacteria; Pseudomonadales; Pseudomonadaceae.
CCUGGCGGCCUUAGCGCGGUGGUCCCACCUGACCCCAUGCCGAACUCAGAAGUGAAACGCCGUAGCG